GCCAGACUCCUACGGGAGGCAGCAGUGGGGGAUAUUGCACAAUGGGGGGAACCCUGAUGCAGCGACGCCGCGUGGGUGAAGAAGUAUUUCGGUAUGUAAAGCCCUAUCGGCAGGGAAGAAAUUGGACGGUACCUGACUAAGAAGCCCCGGCUAACUACGUGCCAGCAGCCGCGGUAAUACGUAGGGGGCAAGCGUUAUCCGGAUUCACUGGGUGUAAAGGGAGCGUAGACGGCCAUGCAAGCCUGGAGUGAAAGCCCGGGGCCCAACCCCGGGACUGCUCUGGGAACUGUGCGGCUGGAGUGCGGGAGGGGCAGGCGGAAUUCCUGGUGUAGCGGUGAAAUGCGUAGAUAUCAGGAGGAACACCGGCGGCGAAGGCGGCCUGCUGGACCGCGACUGACGUUGAGGCUCGAAAGCGUGGGGAGCAAACAGGAUUAGAUACCCCGGUA
RNAcentral lists this ribosomal RNA (446 nucleotides) under uncultured bacterium. Its description in RNAcentral is "bacterial SSU rRNA". It matches the Rfam family "Bacterial small subunit ribosomal RNA", at positions 330 to 792 of the family's 1533-position model. The record is from RNAcentral.